This 325-nucleotide ribosomal RNA is filed under the name uncultured bacterium. RNAcentral describes it as "bacterial SSU rRNA". It matches the Rfam family "Bacterial small subunit ribosomal RNA", at positions 28 to 346 of the family's 1533-position model. The record is from RNAcentral.
GAUGAACGCUAGCGACAGGCUUAACACAUGCAAGUCGAGGGGCAGCACAGUGUAGCAAUACAUGGGUGGCGACCGGCGCACGGGUGAGUAACACGUAUCCAACCUGUCCCAUACUCGGGGAUAGCCUUUCGAAAGAAAGAUUAAUACCCGAUGGUAUCAGAUUAAGGCAUCUUGAUUUGAUUAAAGAAUUUCGGUAUGGGGUGGGGAUGCGUUCCAUUAGCUUGUUGGCUGGGUAACGGCCCACCAAGGCGGCGAUGGAUAGGGGGUUCUGAGAGGAACGGUCCCCCCACAUUGGAACUGAGACACGGUCCAAACUCCUACGGGA